CCUACGGGAGGCAGCAGUGGGGAAUAUUGCACAAUGGGGGAAACCCUGAUGCAGCGACGCCGCGUGAGUGAAGAAGUAAUUCGUUAUGUAAAGCUCUAUCAGCAGGGAAGAAAAUGACGGUACCUGAGUCAGAAGCCCCGGCCAACUACGUGCCAGCAGCCGCGGUAAUACGUAGGGGGCAAGCGUUAUCCGGAUUUACUGGGUGUAAAGGGUGCGUAGAAGGCAGUGCAAGUCUGGAGUGAAAGGCGGGGGCUCAACCCCCGGACUGCUCUGGAAACUGUACGGCUGGAGUGCAGGAGAGGUAAGUGGAAUUCCUAGUGUAGCGGUGAAAUGCGUAGAUAUUAGGAGGAACACCAGUGGCGAAGGCGGCUUACUGGACUGUAACUGACGUUGAGGCUCGAAAGCGUGGGGAGCAAACAGGAUUAGAUACCCGUGUAGUC
This 440-nucleotide ribosomal RNA is filed under the name uncultured bacterium. RNAcentral's name for it is "partial 16S ribosomal RNA". It matches the Rfam family "Bacterial small subunit ribosomal RNA", at positions 338 to 795 of the family's 1533-position model. The record is from RNAcentral.